CUCGUAGGUGGUUUGUCGCGUCGUCUGUGAAAUUCCGGGGCUUAACUCCGGGCGUGCAGGCGAUACGGGCAUAACUUGAGUACUGUAGGGGUAACCGGAAUUCCUGGUGUGGCGGUGAAAUGCGCAGAUAUCAGGAGGAACACCGAUGGCGAAGGCAGGUUACUGGGCAGUUACUGACGCUGAGGAGCGAAAGCAUGGGUAGCGAACA
RNAcentral lists this ribosomal RNA (208 nucleotides) under uncultured bacterium. RNAcentral describes it as "partial 16S ribosomal RNA". It matches the Rfam family "Bacterial small subunit ribosomal RNA", at positions 568 to 774 of the family's 1533-position model. The record is from RNAcentral.